UUUUGACAACAGCAGAUUCAGCCGUACAGUUGCUUCCUGAAGCCACCAAGCCCAUUAGUGGAUGGAAGGGUCUGGAAUAUAAAGCAGCAUUUCCCAUGCUAAAACCACCUGGUGCCAAUUUUUAUCCUCCAGACAUGGAUAAAAAGGAAUUUGAAUUGUGGAAGGACACUCUGACAGAGAGUCGAAAACGUGACGCAACAGGUUUUUUUACUGUUAUCAGAAGGCACAGUGAAUUUGAUUUGGACUCUUCUCUGCCAAAUCAUACAGUUGAU
RNAcentral lists this unclassified non-coding RNA (272 nucleotides) under Hevea brasiliensis (rubber tree). The record is from RNAcentral. Lineage: Eukaryota; Viridiplantae; Streptophyta; Magnoliopsida; Malpighiales; Euphorbiaceae.